This is a non-coding RNA of Pelobates cultripes (western spadefoot toad), 507 nucleotides long. The record is from the annotation of a GenBank genome assembly. Lineage: Eukaryota; Metazoa; Chordata; Amphibia; Anura; Pelobatidae.
CUGUGCAUUGCAUGGUCUGACCCUUCUGAAUUUUCUGGAACGUCUUAACCUGGUAAAAUUGGCAAUUGACAACUGUCUUUAAUGAUUUCCACUUUUGAAUAAUCUUUCAUACUGUAGAAUGAUGGACUUUAAAUUGUUUGGAAAUGGCCUUACAAACCUUUCCAGUUUAAUGUGCAGCAUUUGUUGCUUAUCUAAGAUCAUUGCUGAUGUCUUCCCUCCUUGACAUUGUGUUUACACACAUGCUUACAUUGCUACAACUUUGGCUUUUAUAGAGAUGGUCGCACUUGUUGAUGAUGUAAUGAAUCUGAUGAUCAAUGAUUAUGAUCAAUUAAGGGCAUUUGAUUAGCAGCAACUGUCUGCUAUUUAGCCUCUUAAUUCCUCUUAAUUAGGAGUGUGCUUAACAUUCACACAUGGCUUUGCCGUUUUGGCUCUAUUUUUGUUAACUAAAUCAUGACAUGGUGUAAGAUGUCAUGUGUUGUUGCUCAUCUAAGGAUAUGUCCUUAUAUG